GUGAGGAAUAUUGGUCAAUGGGCGCAAGCCUGAACCAGCCAUCCCGCGUGCAGGAAGACGGCCCUAUGGGUUGUAAACUGUUUUUCCGGGGGGAGAAUUUUUCCGUCGUGACGGGAAUUGACGGUACCCCGGGAAUAAGCAUCGGCUAACUCCGUGCCAGCAGCCGCGGUAAUACGGAGGAUGCGAGCGUUAUCCGGAUUUAUUGGGUUUAAAGGGUGCGUAGGCGGAAUGAUAAGUCAGUGGUGAAAACCUGCAGCUUAACUGUAGACUUGCCGUUGAUACUGUCAGUCUUGAGUGUGGUCAAGGUAGGCGGAAUGUGUAAUGUAGCGGUGAAAUGCUUAGAUAUUACACAGAACACCGAUUGCGAAGGCAGCUUACUGGGCCAUUACUGACGCUGAUGCACGAAAGCGUGGGGAUCGAACAGGAUUAGAAACCCGUGUAGUCC
RNAcentral lists this ribosomal RNA (445 nucleotides) under uncultured bacterium. RNAcentral describes it as "partial 16S ribosomal RNA". It matches the Rfam family "Bacterial small subunit ribosomal RNA", at positions 354 to 796 of the family's 1533-position model. The record is from RNAcentral.